AAAGACGGUCUUGCUGUCACUUAUAGAUGGAUCCGCGCUGCAUUAGCUAGUUGGUAAGGUAACGGCUUACCAAGGCAACGAUGCAUAGCCGACCUGAGAGGGUGAUCGGCCACACUGGAACUGAGACACGGUCCAGACUCCUACGGGAGGCAGCAGUAGGGAAUCUUCCGCAAUGGGCGAAAGCCUGACGGAGCAACGCCGCGUGAGUGAUGAAGGUCUUCGGAUCGUAAAACUCUGUUAUUAGGGAAGAACAUAUGUGUAAGUAACUGUGCACAUCUUGACGGUACCUAAUCAGAAAGCCACGGCUAACUACGUGCCAGCAGCCGCGGUAAUACGUAGGUGGCAAGCGUUAUCCGGAAUUAUUGGGCGUAAAGCGCGCGUAGGCGGUUUUUUAAGUCUGAUGUGAAAGCCCACGGCUCAACCGUGGAGGGUCAUUGGAAACUGGAAAACUUGAGUGCAGAAGAGGAAAGUGGAAUUCCAUGUGUAGCGGUGAAAUGCGCAGAGAUAUGGAGGAACACCAGUGGCGAAGGCGACUUUCUGGUCUGUAACUGACGCUGAUGUGCGAAAGCGUGGGGAUCAAACAGGAUUAGAUACCCUGGUAGUCCACGCCGUAAACGAUGAGUGCU
RNAcentral lists this ribosomal RNA (626 nucleotides) under Staphylococcus aureus. RNAcentral's name for it is "bacterial SSU rRNA". It matches the Rfam family "Bacterial small subunit ribosomal RNA", at positions 202 to 817 of the family's 1533-position model. The record is from RNAcentral. Lineage: Bacteria; Bacillati; Bacillota; Bacilli; Caryophanales; Staphylococcaceae.